GUUGAAGCCUCAAUAUAUAGCAAAAAAUGACAGGUGCAAGAUCCUUACCCAUUCAUAUAGGCGGAGGAAGGAAAAAGAGAGAGGAAAAAAUGCAUGGUAUUUUAACCAAUUAGUAUUAAUUCACACCAUCCUCCAGUAACAAAAUCAAAGUCGAAGAUCGUUCCCGAUUGGUCUACCAUUCAGGAUUUGGCUACCCGUGAAGAUUCUCAAAUUACAAUGGAUUUGGUUACCCAUGAAGAUUUUCAAAUUAGAAAAUCGAAGUAGAUUGUUCCAAUUUGGCUACCCGUGAAGAUUCUCAAAUUACAAAAGCAAAGACUAAGAUCAUUCCUAAUGGUACCAUUAAAGGAUCUGACUUCCUGAAUAAGCUCCCUCCCAUCUGGAUCAAAUGAGAGGGAGAAUCGAUAAAAGUUGGGGGAGACACAGAGGAAGCCACCGUAAACUGGCAGCGAUAGCGAAAGAGCUAGUGGAGCUUCAAGGCAAUGCGAUUUGUAUGGCCUUGUGGGCAAAAGCUAAGGGCAUCAGGGGACUCGAGACUAAAGGCGGGUUACUGGUAAGGUACUGAAAGAUCUCGGCAAGAAAUGGUAGGCCCAAAUCGUUGCCCAAACUCUCUUGCCUUUAUAGUUGCUCCUCUUGUCGUUGUCCCUCUCGCGACCGUCCCUCCUGUUGCCCACUCCCUCGUGUCAUCGUCGCUUUCUCUCACUUGCCAUUGCCUUUGUAGCGGUUGCCCUUCCCAAUGCUGUCAGCUUCACAGGUUUUGUUCAAAUGGCAAACUCCUCCACUUACCUGAGGCAUUGAUGUGAAUAUAGAUAUCUAACACCGAUUUGCAUAGUAAAAGUGGACCAAAAUUUGAGAUGCUUUUCUGAAAUUAGAUUCAGAUUAGCCACUUUGGUCGACUUCUUGCAGAGAUCAGGUUGAACAGUGAUUAGAAUUUACUCUUAUGACUUCCACAAACUCAUGAACUGAUAUUUAUGAUUUUAUUCCAUAUUUGCUUUCCCACAACCUGAUUGACCUCAUUAAUUUUGAUAUUUUGAUAAUUGAUUUAUUACUUGGUGAGCUAGAUAGUAUAUAUAGACAUUGUGUCUGUCUUGUCUAUAGGCACUCUUUUGUGUGGAUUUUUUUUUCACUUUGCUUGAACAUGGUUGUGGCAUUUCUGCUGCAACUUAUGUUCUCUUUUUCUCCUGUGCCAUAUAUUAAGCAUGCAUCCAUGACUUCUUGUUGGCGUAUUUUGUGCUCUCCUGCCAUAAGCGGAGCGCUUUAUCUGGCUAGUUGCGCCUACUUUUGCAUGUGAGCCUUCUGCUUAAGUAUCUAUUUUGUCACAAUGUUCAUGCAAAUUUCUUUUGAAACCUUCUUGUCGUUUGAAUGUCUAGAUUCUCUCAUGGAUCCAACAUUAAUAACCCCAAUGAGAUUGUCAAAGCAGCUGAAGGCCAUCACUUGGGUCUUGGGCAUGGCUUUGCCAGUUUUGGUUUCUGGUGGCUCUGUAAUCAUAUUGUUAGGAACAUUAUUGAUUGCUAUUAUGGUUCGUUUUCACAGGUUGAUGUUUUUUUCCUUGAACUGUGGUUCAUUUUCACAGGUUGAUUGCCAUUAUGGAUCUCUUUACUUCCUUGGUAGACAGUAGGCACUAACAUCUGAUUUAUCAGACACUUUUCUCCGUAGCAUUUGCUGCUGGGGAUUAGGCUCCCCGAAGCCUUUUAUUACCAAAGGAUUAAUGCAUUACAGGAAAACAAGAAUGACCAGACGCUUGUCUCAAGCAUAUAUUGUUGAUUCCUAUAUCUUUAAUGGCAAUUCUGCUGUGGCUUUAAGUUUGAUUAUCAUGUUAUGCCUUUACAUGCUGUCCCACCUUCAGAUGUUAGUUUGUGCAUCUAACUUCACCUUCUUGUUUGCAUUGUGAUCAAGUUUUCCUUGUAUUGGUCGAUUUUGUUGUGGAGAUGCACUGCCACAUGCAUAUUGAUAUCCACAGGUUCUGUGAUGUAAACUUUUAUGAACAUUUUUUUUGGGAGGAUGCGUUGGUAAUAAUAACUUAGCUGGAGACGGUGACAAAAUCACUGGUAUAGACGCAUUAAAAGCCACGAUCAACGACCGGCCACUAUGCUCAUUUAUUUGUAUCAUUACUGAUGCAUGUUUCAUGUCAGUAAAUGUUUCUCUUCCUUUUUUAUUUUGUCAGUAAAACUUUCAUUGACACUGCACUGACUUUUUUUUUUUAGCGCCAGUAGGUAUGUUGUAAAAGGUUUACUGAUGCUUUGUCUCUCUUUAGUAAUAUCAUUUUGGCACUAAUAAGGGAUCAUUUUUUUGUA
This is a long non-coding RNA of Nymphaea colorata (pocket water lily), 2291 nucleotides long. RefSeq lists it as uncharacterized. Lineage: Eukaryota; Viridiplantae; Streptophyta; Magnoliopsida; Nymphaeales; Nymphaeaceae. The transcript has 3 exons. The record is from RefSeq and is a predicted model, not a curated record.